AUAAAUGUGCAAUAUAAAUAAAUUAAAAAUGUUUAGAAUAUUCGUAAAUAUUCGUAAAGAAUUAAUAUAUAGAGGUCAAUUUUGUAGAUCGAUACAUAAGCCAAGUCACGAGCAUGUUAGUAACGAUGAGAUUAUGUCUCCCGCCAACGGACAAAUAGAAACGAAUGUAACACAAAAUAGGUUAAGGAGAAAUAUAGAAUAAUUGUUGAAAUAAUAUGGAAGGCUUCGAUGAUCGAUACGCUAUGUCAGCAAUAGAUAUCGAAAGCAUGAAUAAGAUCGAUAAAUAUAGAACAAUGACGAUAUAAAGAGAUACGUACGAAUAAAAUGAAUGGGAAUAAAUAUCGAGGUAUACUCAAAAAAAAAAAAAAUAAGGCAACUACUCUCACCUAUCAUCUUCUUCUGUUCCAACGUUUGAUGCUACAAUAGUUUGAACGUUGUUUUUGAAACUCUUCCUCGAAAGGAACAGCUUAUCAAGCAAAGGCAUCAUAAACGAACGAUCGUUUAUAGCUACCGCAUUGCUUGCUAACUUUGUUUCGUUUUCGGUCUAUCAUGUCACAAGGAACUGCACCAUACAUGUUCACGAGUAUCAGUCAACUGUAAAUAAAGUCACGUGCGGAGGAGUCAUAUGAUUGCCCGAGAUUACUAUGUCCCGUUCAGUCGACAUCGAAUGGAAUGUUUUCUGGCUUUUUUCGUUCUUUGCCGUCACUAUUUAUUUCACUUCUCGCAGGCCAGGGAACCGGUUCAAUGAAAUGUUGAUAAAAAUAUCAAAAGCAUGAUAAGAAUAGGAAAAAAAACAAAUUCGUACAAUCGAAACCGAUUAUUGACUGCGCAUGAUAAUUUGAUUAUGGUAGAAGUUGUAGAGUAUACCGCAAGAGUGCAGUACUCGUCAAUAUUAACGAUUUCGUUGCAAUCAUAUUUGAAUUUUUUUUCCUUUAAAAAUUAUUAAACGAUUAUAAAUAUUUUAACAAAGUUUCAAGUUAGAUCUCGGCGUACAGGAACAUCAAAAUCAAUAUUUCUACGCAUUUUAUUAGCCAAUAUAAGACGAUGGACAUAUUCUGUAUCCCUAAUAUCUUCUGAUGUAUCAAACGCUCGUUUAACAUAAUUUUUAUUUGAUACUGGCAUAUAUACCGGAUAUUC
Molecule: long non-coding RNA, 1137 nt
Organism: Apis florea (little honeybee)
Lineage: Eukaryota; Metazoa; Arthropoda; Insecta; Hymenoptera; Apidae
Source: RefSeq, a predicted model, not a curated record